GCCGAGGUGGCGGAACUGGCAGACGCGUCGGUCUCAAAAACCGAUGUCCGCAAGGACGUUCGGGUUCGACUCCCGAUCUCGGCACCA
This 87-nucleotide transfer RNA is filed under the name Candidatus Dormiibacterota bacterium. RNAcentral's name for it is "tRNA-Leu". It matches the Rfam family "tRNA". From Rfam's summary of the family: Transfer RNA (tRNA) molecules are approximately 80 nucleotides in length. Their secondary structure includes four short double-helical elements and three loops (D, anti-codon, and T loops). Lineage: Bacteria; Bacillati; Candidatus Dormiibacterota. RNAcentral also lists the same sequence under 1 other name. The record is from RNAcentral.